Molecule: long non-coding RNA, 1336 nt
Filed under: Strigops habroptila (Kakapo)
Lineage: Eukaryota; Metazoa; Chordata; Aves; Psittaciformes; Psittacidae
Description: lncRNA (ENSSHBG00005002813.1)
Source: RNAcentral
AUCCAAAGUAAAAGGGUUAGUGUAAACCACCUCCUGUGUUAGUUACUAAAGCCUCUUAGAGAUUUUUUGGUUUGUGGUUACAUUUGGUCUCUGACUGCUUUAACACACCAGGCUGAAAGCUAUUUCCCAGAUGCUUUUGACUUUAAUUCUAUUCCAUCCAUGAAAAUAAAGCACAUUUCAAAAAACUUUAUAACAUAGUCUAGAGGAAGAACAGAAAAAUGAUUUUUUUUUGAGUGUAACAUUUCUUGUGUACAUUUACUUAUAUUUACUGCGGAUCUUUCACCAAAAUUUUAGUUCAUCUAUUGUCUGUAAAAUAUGUGGAUGCCAUUUUUAUUGUGAAUGUUUUUAAUCAAAUGUUAUUCAAUCAAAUUUAUUGCUUGGCAAUUUGUCUAUAAUUUAUUUCUCCACUUUUAUAUAACAAACUCUUAUAUAUGAGCUUACGGUAGUUUUAUAGAGUUUCUUUUUAUAACUUACCACCCUAGAGAUGUGUUCCUACGCAGCCCCAAAAAAGAUUUAUAUCAGAUAUAAUAGAGAUUAAGCUGGUUCUUCUAACUCAUCUGUGUUCUCUUUUCUUACUUUAUUCUUAGCACUUUUAUCUAUCAUGCUUGCCUAUUCUGCACUGAAUUCUAGCAGUACAAAAUUGGAUUUGCUCAUCAAUUUUUUUUAGUCAUGAACAAUUAAUUAAACAUAAAAAGAAGGUUCUUUAUGUUUUAAACUACCCACUCCAAAGUAAUUUCUUGUUGAUCACCAUCACCACUCUAUUUCUUACUGAAAUAUUUCCUUUUCCUUAAAAAGCAUAUGAAAUCCUAUGAUCUAAAAUUUGGUGGACUCCAUGACACUGAAACAGGAAAAAGCUGUGUAAUAAUUUCAUACUAUACUAGGCUGCCUAUUUUAGUAUCUUUAUAUUGACAAAGAUAAAUAUUUAGAUUUGGCACUAUUACUAAUCACUAUUUCUGCAAAUAGAGAAAAAUACUUUUCAGACUUUCUUAAAGACAAGAUCUGAUUGCACGCCUAAUUAUCUAUUUUGUAGGGUUAAUCUUUAAUUACAAUGAUAAUAACUUUUUUAAUUUAAUAUAUAAAUAUCUCAUAUAGUAUAAAUAUAUACAUAUAUUUAAUUGUGCUUCAGCAGUUGGUGCUGAAGCAUAAUGAUUCAGUGUGUAAAACAUUCUUAUCAGGAAAGUAAUCCUGUUAUGUAUUAAAAAUAUAUAUAUACACUAUCAGAAUUGUGACAGUGAGAAAGUAUUCCUACACUUCUAGUUAAAAUCACAGUAAGGUUAGAAAAGAAAAUAAAAAGGAAAAGAAAAGGAAAAGAAAAAAGAAAAGCAAAGUAAAAGAA